CAGGCCAUGGGAAGACAUUACCUGUUGAUAACACAGACUAUUCUCAUGAUCAUGGGAGGUGUGAGAGAAUUGCUGCUCUUUGUGAUGACUGUGGGGGUUGUCAAAGUUUCUUGUUACCCUGUUGGAAAGUCCCAGAAGCAAGAUCAAGUCUCUCUGCAGAGGAGACUUGGAGAGCUGUCAUCAAAUGACGUCUCCAUUGAGCAUGCCCUGGCCUUGCUCCGAUCCAUAGGGUCUGACGCUAAACAAGACAGAGAAGAGUAUUUAGAGACUAACGAAGUAGAAUCCCAAGCUUCUCCAAACCAUGGUAGCUCUCAGGCAAAUGAUGCCCUGUCCUCUGAGGAGAAGCUGAGGCGCAUGUCCUCUGACGACGCUGCGACUGGCCCGUCUGACGACGCUACCUCUGAAGCUGCGACUGGCCCGUCUGACGACGCUACCUCUGAAGCUGCGACUGGCCCGUCUGACGACGCUACCUCUGAAGCUGCGACUGGCCCGUCUGACGACGCUACCUCUGAAGCUGCGACUGGCCCGUCUGACGACGCUACCUCUGAAGCUGCGACUGGCCCGUCUGACGCACGCUACCUCUGAAGCUGCGACUGGCCCGUCUGACGACGCUACCUCUGAAGCUGCGACUGGCCCGUCUGACGACGCUACCUCUGAAGCUGCCACUGGCCCGUCUGACGACGCUACCUCUGAAGCUGCCACUGGCCCGUCUGACGACGCUACCUCUGAAGCUGCCACUGGCCCGUCUGACGACGCUACCUCUGAAGCUGCCACUGGCCCGUCUGACGACGCUACCUCUGAAGCUGCGACUGGCCCCGCGUCUGACGACGCUACCUCUGAAGCUGCGACUGGCCCCCGUCUGACGCACGCUACCUCUGAAGCUGCGACUGGCCCCGUCUGACGACGCUACCUCUGAAGCUGCGACUGGCCCCGUCUGACGACGCUACCUCUGAAGCUGCGACUGGCCCCGCCUGACGACGCUACCUCUGAAGCUGCGACUGGCCCCCGUCUGACCACGCUACCUCUGAAGCUGCGACUGGCCCGCCGCGACGCUACCUCUGAAGCUGCGACUGGCCCCCCGUCUGACGACGCUACCUCUGAAGCUGCGACUGGCCCCGUCUGACGACGCUACCUCUGAAGCUGCGACUGGCCCCCGUCUGACGACGCUACCUCUGAAGCUGCGACUGGCCCCGCGUCUGACGACGCUACCUCUGAAGCUGCGACUGGCCCCCGCCUGACGCACGCCACCUCUGAAGCUGCGACUGGCCCCCUGCGACUGGCCCCGUCUGACGACGCUACCUCUGAAGCUGCGACUGGCCCCCUGCGACUGGCCCCGUCUGACGACGCUACCUCUGAAGCUGCGACUGGCCCCCUGCGACUGGCCCCGUCUGACGACGCUACCUCUGAAGCUGCGACUGGCCCCCGUCUGACGCACGCUACCUCUGAAGCUGCGACUGGCCCCCUGCGACUGGCCCCGUCUGACGACGCUACCUCUGAAGCUGCGACUGGCCCCGUCUGACGACGCUACCUCUGAAGCUGCGACUGGCCCUCGUCUGACGACGCUACCUCUGAAGCUGCGACUGGCCCGCCUGACGCACGCUACCUCUGAAGCUGCGACUGGCCCGUCUGACGACGCUACCUCUGAAGCUGCGACUGGCCCCUGCCACUGGCCCCCGUCUGACGACGCUACCUCUGAAGCUGCCACUGGCCCCCGUCUGACGACGCUACCUCUGAAGCUGCCACUGGCCCCGUCUGACGACGCUACCUCUGAAGCUGCGACUGGCCCCCCGUCUGACGACGCUACCUCUGAAGCUGCGACUGGCCCCCGUCUGACGCACGCUACCUCUGAAGCUGCGACUGGCCCCCGUCUGACGACGCUACCUCUGAAGCUGCGACU
Non-coding RNA from Salmo salar (Atlantic salmon), 1897 nucleotides. The record is from RefSeq and is a predicted model, not a curated record. Lineage: Eukaryota; Metazoa; Chordata; Actinopteri; Salmoniformes; Salmonidae.